RNAcentral lists this ribosomal RNA (508 nucleotides) under uncultured bacterium. RNAcentral's name for it is "partial 16S ribosomal RNA". It matches the Rfam family "Bacterial small subunit ribosomal RNA", at positions 30 to 523 of the family's 1533-position model. The record is from RNAcentral.
AUUGAACGCUGGCGGCAUGCCUUACACAUGCAAGUCGAACGGCAGCGGGGGAGAAGCUUGCUUUUCCUGCCGGCGAGUGGCGAACGGGUGAGUAAUACAUCGGAACGUGCCCUGUAGUGGGGGAUAACUAGUCGAAAGAUUAGCUACUACCGCAUACGACCUGAGGGUGCAAGUGGGGGACCGCAAGGCCUCAUGCUAUAGGAGCGGCCGAUGUCUGAUUAGCUAGUGGGUGGGGUAAAGGCCUACCAAGGCGACGAUCAGUAGCUGGUCUGAGAGGACGAUCAGCCUCCCUGGGACUGAGACACGGCCCAGACUCCUACGGGGGGCAGCAGUGGGGAAUUUUGGACAAUGGGCGAAAGACUGUUCCAGCAAUGCCGCGUGUGUGAAGAAGGCCUUCGGGUUGUAAAGCACUUUUGUCCGGAAAGAAAUGGCUCUGGUUAAUACCUGGGGUCGAUGACGGUACCGGAAGAAUAAGGACCGGCUAACUACGUGCCAGCCGCCGCGGUAA